Molecule: transfer RNA, 63 nt
Filed under: Marmota marmota marmota (Alpine marmot)
Lineage: Eukaryota; Metazoa; Chordata; Mammalia; Rodentia; Sciuridae
Also listed under: 4 other names
Rfam family: tRNA
About the family: Transfer RNA (tRNA) molecules are approximately 80 nucleotides in length. Their secondary structure includes four short double-helical elements and three loops (D, anti-codon, and T loops).
Source: Rfam by way of RNAcentral
GGGGAUGCAGCUCAGUGGUAGAGCACUUGCCUAACAUGCAUGCGGCCCCAGGUUACAUCCCCA